Molecule: ribosomal RNA, 494 nt
Filed under: uncultured bacterium
Lineage: Bacteria
Description: partial 16S ribosomal RNA
Rfam family: Bacterial small subunit ribosomal RNA
Source: RNAcentral
GACGAACGCUGGCGGCGUGCUUAACACAUGCAAGUCGAACGGAAAGGCCUGCUUUCCCUUGUGGAUUGCGGGUGCUCGAGUGGCGAACGGGUGAGUAACACGUGAGUGAUCUGCCCCCAACUUGGGUAUAAGCCUGGGAAACUGGGUCUAAUUCCCGAUAGGACUGCAGGGUGGUGCCUGUGGUGGAAAACGAUUUUCUAGUGGUUGGGGAUGGGCUCGCGGCCUAUCAGCUUGUUGGUGGGGUAAUGGCCUACCAAGGCGGCGACGGGUAGCCGGCCUGAGAGGGUGGACGGCCACAUUGGGACUGAGAUACGGCCCAGACUCCUACGGGAGGCAGCAGUGGGGAAUAUUGCACAAUGGGCGGAAGCCUGAUGCAGCGACGCCGCGUGGGGGAUGACGGCCUUCGGGUUGUAAACUCCUUUCGACCGCGAGGAAGCCACCUGGUUGGAAGGGUGGUGACGGUAGUGGUAGAAGAAGCACCGGCUAACUACGUG